UACGUAGGGACCAAGCGUUGUCCGGAAUCAUUGGGCGUAAAGAGCGUGUAGGCGGCCUGUUAAGUCUGGCGUGAAAUCUCGGGGCUCAACCCCGAGCGGUCGUGAGAAACUGGCAGGCUAGAGUGCGGGAGAGGAGAGUGGAAUUCCUGGUGUAGCGGUGAAAUGCGCAGAUAUCAGGAAGAACACCCGUGGCGAAGGCGGCUCUCUGGACCGCACCUGACGCUGAGACGCGAAAGCGUGGGGAGCAAACAGG
RNAcentral lists this ribosomal RNA (253 nucleotides) under uncultured bacterium. RNAcentral's name for it is "partial 16S ribosomal RNA". It matches the Rfam family "Bacterial small subunit ribosomal RNA", at positions 524 to 776 of the family's 1533-position model. The record is from RNAcentral.